UUGUCUCAAAGAUUAAGCCAUGCAUGUCUCAGUACGAGCCGAAUUAAGGUGAAACCGCGAAAGGCUCAUUAAAUCAGUUAUGGUUCCUUAGAUCGUACCCACACUUACUUGGAUAACUGUGGUAAUUCUAGAGCUAAUACAUGCAAACAGAGCUCCGACCGGAGACGGAAGGAGCGCUUUUAUUAGAUCAAAACCAAACGGCGGCGGGUUCGCGCCCGUCGUCGUGAACUUUGGUGACUCUGAAUAACUUAUUGCCGAUCGCACGGUCUAGCACCGGCGACGCAUCUUUCAAAUGUCUGCCUUAUCAACUGUCGAUGGUAGGUUCUGCGCCUACCAUGGUCGUAACGGGUAACGGGGAAUCAGGGUUCGAUUCCGGAGAGGGAGCCUGAGAAACGGCUACCACAUCCAAGGAAGGCAGCAGGCGCGCAAAUUACCCACUCCCGGCACGGGGAGGUAGUGACGAAAAAUAACGAUACGGGACUCAUCCGAGGCCCCGUAAUCGGAAUGAGUACACUYUAAAUCCUUUAACGAGGAUCAAUUGGAGGGCAAGUCUGGUGCCAGCAGCCGCGGUAAUUCCAGCUCCAAUAGCGUAUAUUAAAGUUGUUGCGGUUAAAAAGCUCGUAGUCGAAUUUGUGUUCCGCGCCGCCGGUACAUCGCUCGCGGUGUUUAACUGGCGUGUCCGCGGAACGUCCUGCCGGUGGGCUUAGCUUCUCUUUGGGGAGCGGCCCAACUUAAAAUCCCGCCGCGGUGCUCUUCACUGAGUGUCGAGGUGGGCCGGCACGUUUACUUUGAACAAAUUAGAGUGCUUAAAGCAGGCUAAAAUUUCGCCUGAAUACUGUGUGCAUGGAAUAAUGGAAUAGGACCUCGGUUCUAUUUUGUUGGUUUUCGGAACCCCGAGGUAAUGAUUAAUAGGAACGGAUGGGGGCAUUCGUAUUGCGACGUUAGAGGUGAAAUUCUUGGAUCGUCGCAAGACGGACRGAAGCGAAAGCAUUUGCCAAAAACGCUUUCAUUGAUCAAGAACGAAAGUUAGAGGUUCGAAGGCGAUCAGAUACCGCCCUAGUUCUAACCAUAAACGAUGCCAGCUAGCGAUCCGCCGACGUUCCUCCGAUGACUCGGCGGGCAGCUUCCGGGAAACCAAAGCUUUUGGGUUCCGGGGGAAGUAUGGUUGCAAAGCUGAAACUUAAAGGAAUUGACGGAAGGGCACCACCAGGAGUGGAGCCUGCGGCUUAAUUUGACUCAACACGGGAAACCUCACCAGGCCCGGACACCGGAAGGAUUGACAGAUUGAGAGCUCUUUCUUGAUUCGGUGGGUGGUGGUGCAUGGCCGUUCUUAGUUGGUGGAGCGAUUUGUCUGGUUAAUUCCGAUAACGAACGAGACUCUAGCCUGCUAACUAGGCGUACUUUCGACAUCUCAAAGGCCCGCCGGCCCGGCGUCCGCGUCGCGGUCGUGCGCGGUUUUUACUGUCGGCGUACAAAUUAUUCUUCUUAGAGGGACAGGCGGCUUCUAGCCGCACGAGAUUGAGCAAUAACAGGUCUGUGAUGCCCUUAGAUGUUCUGGGCCGCACGCGCGCUACACUGAAGGAAUCAGCGUGUCUUCCCUGGCCGAGCGGCCCGGGUAACCCGCUGAACCUCCUUCGUGCUAGGGAUCGGGGCUUGCAAUUCUUCCCCGUGAACGAGGAAUUCCCAGUAAGCGCGAGUCAUAAGCUCGCGUUGAUUACGUCCCUGCCCUUUGUACACACCGCCCGUCGCUACUACCGAUUGAAUGAUUUAGUGAGGUCUUCGGACCGGUACGCGGUGGCGUUUCGACGUCGCCGAUGUUGCUGGGAAGAUGACCAAACUUGAUCAUUU
Molecule: ribosomal RNA, 1848 nt
Filed under: Omorgus sp. BMNH 793032
Lineage: Eukaryota; Metazoa; Arthropoda; Insecta; Coleoptera; Trogidae
Description: SSU rRNA
Rfam family: Eukaryotic small subunit ribosomal RNA
Source: RNAcentral